UACGGGGGGGGCAAGCGUUGUUCGGAAUUACUGGGCGUAAAGGGCUCGUAGGUGGCCAACUAAGUCAGACGUGAAAUCCCUCGGCUUAACCGGGGAACUGCGUCUGAUACUGGAUGGCUAGAGUUUGGGAGAGGGAUGCGGAAUUCCAGGUGUAGCGGUGAAAUGCGUAGAUAUCUGGAGGAACACCGGUGGCGAAGGCGGUUCUCUGGGCAUGAUCUGACGCUGAGGAGCGAAAGUGUGGGGAGCGAACAGG
This 253-nucleotide ribosomal RNA is filed under the name uncultured bacterium. RNAcentral describes it as "partial 16S ribosomal RNA". It matches the Rfam family "Bacterial small subunit ribosomal RNA", at positions 524 to 776 of the family's 1533-position model. The record is from RNAcentral.